Molecule: transfer RNA, 51 nt
Filed under: Habenaria furcifera
Lineage: Eukaryota; Viridiplantae; Streptophyta; Magnoliopsida; Asparagales; Orchidaceae
Also listed under: 8 other names
Description: partial tRNA-Leu
Source: RNAcentral
AAAAUCCGUCGAAUUUGAAAAUCGUGAGGGUUCAAGUCCCUCUAUCCCCAA